CGCGGCCUAUCAGCUUGUUGGUGGGGUGAUGGCCUACCAAGGCGACGACGGGUAGCCGGCCUGAGAGGGUGACCGGCCACACUGGGACUGAGAUACGGCCCAGACUCCUACGGGAGGCAGCAGUGGGGAAUAUUGCACAAUGGGCGCAAGCCUGAUGCAGCGACGCCGCGUGAGGGAUGACGGCCUUCGGGUUGUAAACCUCUUUCGCCAGGGACGAAGCGCAAGUGACGGUACCUGGAGAAGAAGGACCGGCCAACUACGUGCCAGCAGCCGCGGUAAUACGUAGGGUCCGAGCGUUGUCCGGAAUUACUGGGCGUAAAGAGCUCGUAGGUGGUUUGUCGCGUUGUUCGUGAAAACUCACAGCUUAACUGUGGGCGUGCGGGCGAUACGGGCAGACUGGAGUACUGCAGGGGAGACUGGAAUUCCUGGUGUAGCGGUGGAAUGCGCAGAUAUCAGGAGGAACACCGGUGGCGAAGGCGGGUCUCUGGGCAGUAACUGACGCUGAGGAGCGAAAGCGUGGGGAGCGAACAGGAUUAGAUACCCUGGUAGUCCACGCCGUAAACGGUGGGUACUAGGUGUGGGUUUCCUUCCUUGGGAUCCGUGCCGUAGCUAACGCAUUAAGUACCCCGCCUGGGGAGUACGG
RNAcentral lists this ribosomal RNA (643 nucleotides) under uncultured bacterium. Its description in RNAcentral is "bacterial SSU rRNA". It matches the Rfam family "Bacterial small subunit ribosomal RNA", at positions 232 to 885 of the family's 1533-position model. The record is from RNAcentral.